GUCGUACUGAUUCGAUCGGGAUAGUCAUCAAAUAAUUAGGAAAAACCGGGAUGGUUUCCAUGUUAAUGGCGGGCCACAUAAAUCGCAUCUCCGCGACUAAGCCGCAAGGCCGGUGGAUUACAACGACUGGGAACUCCUACAAUUUUUGUAACUCGGACUUUUCAUCACAUCGUCAGUGCGACUCUUA
Molecule: small RNA, 187 nt
Filed under: uncultured Prevotella sp.
Lineage: Bacteria; Pseudomonadati; Bacteroidota; Bacteroidia; Bacteroidales; Prevotellaceae
Description: Bacteroidales-1 6S-Bacteroidales RNA suggested
Rfam family: Bacteroidales-1 6S-Bacteroidales RNA suggested
Source: RNAcentral